Molecule: RNA transcript, 6638 nt
Organism: Wyeomyia smithii (pitcher-plant mosquito)
Lineage: Eukaryota; Metazoa; Arthropoda; Insecta; Diptera; Culicidae
Exons: 2
Source: RefSeq, a predicted model, not a curated record
ACACGUGUCACUUGAGAUCCUAUUGUGGUCAUUCACCUCUGUCCAGCAACUCCUAUCCCAACCUCCACGUUGUGCCGACCGGGAUACGAGUAACCUUAGCGGAGAUCGGGUAACCAACCCCGGUGGAAACUUUGGUCGUAUGCUGACUGGGAAGGGGGAACGUACGCGGCUGAUUCCCCAUGUUAGGGGCGGCGUACAACAGCGUCUGAUCCGGAGCGGGCGGCUGAAUCAUGAAACGCGGUGUCUCGCCAGCUAUAUCAAAGACGGCAGCCCCGUCGCGAGACUAGGUAUCGCAGCCCUAGUAAGCAUACUGAAUAUUAAAUACUACGAACAAUUCAGAUAUAAAUACGGAACGGAAUAAUCGGCAUGGACCUAGGCGAACGAAAAAGGACAACGAUUAUUGGAAACUCGGUACUUGGAAUGUAAGGACUCUACUCGAACCGGCACGCGCAAGUAUACUGGCUAGAGAGCUGAGGAAGGUGAAUGUGGGGGUUGCAGCUAUCCAAGAGGUGCGGUGGCCGAAAUCGGGAGAACGCGAAUUCCGAGCAGUAGAUUCUAUUGUGGACACUUCAUUUAAGUACCACAUCUACUAUAGCGGCGGCGUGAAAGCAGAAAGAGGAGUCGGUUUCGUGCUAAUUGGAAAACAGAUGAAGCGUGUCAUUAGAUAGAGGCCGAUCAGUGACCGUAUAUGCGUGUUGAGAAUUAAGGGCAAAUUCUUCAACUACAGCCUGAUAAAUGUGUACGCACCGACCAACGAGAAACUCGAUGUCGAAAAGGAGGAGUUCUAUGAGCACCUGGAAAAGACAUACAAUGAGUGCCCAGGACACGAUAUAAAGAUUGUCAUCGGAGAUGCAAAUGCACAGGUCGGGCAGGAAGACUUCUUCCGCCCCGUAACUGGUAGGGAAAGCUUCCACUCUACUACGAACGACAAUGGCCUGAGGCUUGUUAAUUUCGCUGCAGCUAGGGGGAUGGCUAUCUGUAGCACAUAUUUUGCACGCCGGAACAUACGUAAGCACACCUGGAUGCAGCCGAAUGGAGAGCUUUGCUCUUAAAUUGACCACGUUCUGAUUGAUGGACGGCACUUUUCAGACGUUACAGACGUGAGGUCGUUCAGAGGACCGAACGUUGACUCGGAUCACUAUCUCGUAGUAGCCAAAAUCCGCGCCCGGCUGUCCAAAGUGCUGAAAUCCAAGGCAACGAGGAGGAUGCAGUUGAACAUCCAGCGGCUAUCAACUGAAGGAGUGGCUGCAGAGUACUCGCAGAAAGUUGAUGAACGGAUUGAGGAAAAAGUUGAAGGGAACCUGAAUGAACAGUGGAGGCACAUCCAAAGUUCGAUCAGCACUACAGCGCGAGAAGUGUUGGGUACAACUGCGGUAGCUGCGCCUAAUGAGUGGUUUGACGCUGAGUGCCAGCGAGUAACGGAGGAGAAGAACCGCGCCAGGGGUCAUAUGUUGGCCACGGCUGUGACUCGUCAGAGCAUGAGUAGAUAUCGAGAUGCAAGAGCCGCUGAAAAGAGACUCCAUCGCCGGAAGAAACGACAGCACUGGGAGCGUAUUCUUGCGGAGGCGGAAGGUUGCUUCUCCAGGCACGAUGCGAGGAGCUUCUACAAGAAGGUCAACGGAAUCAGGAAUCCAAACGUGUCAGUCCCUGUCAUGUGCAACGAUAGGGAGGGGAACCUGAUAACCGAUAAAACAGAGGUGGCCAGGCGUUGGAAGGAACACUUCAGUGUGCUGUUGAACGGUGAGGGAAACAGUGGAGUCGAAAGGGGCAGGAUGACUAUUGAGAAUGAUGGUCAAGCUGUGGAUCCACCAUCCAUGGACGAGGUGAAGAAAGCAGUGAAAGAGCUGAGAAACUGCAAGACAGUCGAGAAGGACGGCAUUCCCGCCAAACUCUUCAAAAUCGGGAGCGAACAGCUGUAUCGUGCCAUCCAUCGGAUCAUGCUGAGAGUGUGGUCUGAUGAUACCCUCGGACUGGUUGGAGGGUCUCAUAUGCCCGAUCUACAAAAAAGGCCAUCGCCUGGACUGUAGCAAUUAUCGGGGCAUAAAACUUCUCAAUACCGUGUACAAAAUUCUCUCCCGCAUCCUGUUCCACAGACUGAGGCCGUUGCAGGAGACCUUUUCGCCUUUCUCCUAGAAAGUUCCGCCACUGUUGUGGCCAAUCACCGACGCCCAGGGAGGCGACUUCACACCCAGGACCCUAACUCACGACCCGUUAUUAACGGACCGGCGCCAACGGCUUUACUUCCUCAUGCGAUGGAAGGCGUGAUCCCAGAGAUUUUUCGCCUCAGAAAAUCUCCCGGUGUCGGCUAGGAUUGAAUCUAGACCAGUUGGGUUGGUUGUGGGUGGAUCACGCCACCUCACAACCCUCGACACCUAUGUCGGCGGUGGGAUUCGAACCCGGGCGUCGAGCGUGGUUGGCGGAGACGUUACCAACCACACUAGACCCCCGCUCAAGAAGACCUUUGUUGGCGAGUACCAAUGCGGUUUUCGAGGGGGACGCUCUACGACGGACUAAAUGUUUACCUUGUGACAAAUCCUCGAUAAAUUUCGAGAAUACAACUUGCAGACGCACGCAUCUGUUCAUAGACUUCAGGGCAGCGUGCGAUUCAGUCAAGAGAAAUGAGUUAUGGCAGAUUAUGAUUGAACAUGGCUUCCCAACAAAGCUGAUUAGGCUGAUACGUGCCACCCUUGAAGGUUCUACAUCAAGCGUCAGGAUAGCCGGUGAAAUAUCGGACUCGUUCGUGACGUUAGAUAGUUUGAAGCAGGGUGACGGGCUGUCGAACUUAUUGUUCAACAUCGCAUUGGAAGGUGCUAUACGGAGGGCUGGUGUGCAGAGAAGCGGCACCAUCAUUACGGAGUCGCACAUGCUUCUCGGUUUUGCGGACGAUAUCGACAUUAUUGGUAUCAACCGUAGAGCUGUGGAAGAGGCCUUCGGACCUCUCCGGAGGGAAGCUGCGAGAUUAGGGCUUGUCAUAAACUCUGCCAAAACGAAAUACAUGGUGGCUGGCAGAGUGCGUGGUAGUCCGUCGGAGGUUGGUGCUGUGGUGGUGCUUGAUGGGAAACAUUUGAAGUAGUCGACGAAUUUAUUUACCUAGGAACAUUAGUGACAUGUGACAACGAGGUUAGCCGUGAGAUAAAGAGGCGGAUAGCAGCCGCAAACAGGGCCUUUUACGGACUACGUAACCAGCUAAGGUCCCGCAGUCUGCAAAUCCGUAUUAAGCUUGCACUCUAUAAAACACUGAUUCUUCCGGUGGCUCUCUGCGGCCAUGAAUCAUGGAUGCUGAAAGAGGCUGAUCGGCGAGCUCUUGGUGUUUUUGAGCGUAGGAUUUUGCGUUCAAUCCUUGGCGGCAAACUAGAAAAUGGUGUUUGGCGCAGACGCAUGAACCAUGAAGUGUACCAGGCAUACAAAUCGGUGGAUAUAGUCAAGCGGAUAAAACACAUAAGGCUUCAGUGGGCUGGGCAUGUAGCGGGAAUACCGGAUGAGCGUCAAGCGAAGGCUAUAUUUAGCAGGAAUUCCGAUAGAGGUCGCCGACUUCGGGGUAGACCCCGCACUCGUUGGAUGUGUGCUGUCGACGAGGAUGCACGCGAAAUAGCUGUUAGGGGCGAUUAAAGGAUAGCAGCCCAAGACCGAGGGACAUGGGACGUAUUCUGGAUUCGGCACUGGAUCGAUAAGCGGUCUGUCGCCUUAAAAUUAAAGUAAGUAAUGGGUUCACAACUGUGCAUCUAAUUAGCAACCGGUAAGAGAGAUUCCAAAAACGAUGUUUCAACGGAAGAAUACCCGCUAGCACUUUAAGACUCAUCAUAUGGGUCGACUGCAUGCAGUCCAUGACAAUACGCAAUACAUUUUACCCGUUAGUAGGAGCUCCAGCUGGGCUGGGUUAUGCUUCCUAGAAAAAACGACCAGCUCAGUUUUCUCCGGAGAGAAUUCGAUACCCAGCUUAAGAGCCCAUUCAGACAAAUUGUCUAAGGUAUCUUGCAAUGGACUUUGCAGAUCGUUAGCUUCGCUUCCAGUAAUGGGAACAACGCUACCGUCUGCAAGUUGCCUCAGCGUGCGUUAAUUUGCAAGACAUUCAUCGAUGUCAUUGACGUAAAAUUUAUUUAAGAGAGGGCUUAAACAUGAACCCUGGGAAAGACCCAUGUAACCAAUUCGGGAAGUUGUCGAAUCACCAUGUGAGAAAUACAUAUCCUUUUCUGACAACAAAUUGAGCAAAAAAUCAUUCAAAUUUGAUGAAAGUCCCUGUAAAUGAAGUUUCUCGGUUAAAACUUCUACAGAGACACAGUCAAAAGCCCCCUUAAUGUCCAAGAAUGCAGAAGCCAUUUGCUCUUUUCGAGCAAAGGCGAGUUGAAUUUCAGUAGAAAGCAACACUAGACAAUCGUUCAUUCCUUUGCCCCGGCGGAAGCCAAAUUGAGUAUCGGAAAGUAAACCAUUUGUUUCGACCCAUUUGUCUAACCGUAAGAGGAUCAUUUUCUCCAUUAAUUUCCAGGGGCAAGAGAGCAUAGGCCAGAUGCAGGUUUUCCGGGUUUUUGAAUAGCAAUGGCUUUUACCUCCCUUCAGCCGUGCGGAACAAUGUUUUGCUCAAGAAACUUGUUGAACAGGUUCAACAAGCGUCUUUUUGCAGAGUCGGGUAGAUUCUUCAGCAAGUUGAAUAUAGUUCUAUCCAAUCUCGCAAAAUUGUUGCACGAGAGGAGAGCCAUUGAAAAUUCCAACAUCGAAAAUGGAGGCUUUCCGUAGCUACUAAACACGCGUCGUGAAAGGUCUUCUGUUCCGGUACAGAGUCCGAACAGAUCUUCUUGGCAAAAUCAAGUACUGGAUACUCCUCACUCUCAUUCGAAUACUCCUCACUCUCAUUCGAAACGUUACGAUUCCGCAUGCGUCUGGCGGCAUCCCAAAGAGUGCUCAUCGCUGUUUCCCUCGACAACGCGUUUACAAACCGCCGCCAGUAUCCGCGUUUUUUUUGCUUUUAUCAAACUCUUCAUCUGUCUAUCCAGUACAUCGUAUUUUCGGAGCAAAUCAAUAGUGCCUUGUUCUCGGAAGGCCAAAUACAUCGAGGACCUUCGCGCGUACAGGUCUGAGCACUCUUUGUCCCUCCGCUUGGAGGGAGGGCGCCGUCUGAUCGUUACCCCGGGUAUCGGCUUCGUCUGAGCUUGAGUCGCGGUGUCGAUGAUCAAGCCAGAAAGGAACGCGUAUUCUUCCUCCGGAGGAAGUUCCAUGUGGGACUCGAUUCUUUGCAUAUUAUGGUCUCAUAAGACUUCCAAUCAAUGUUACGUGUGAGGUCAUACGCAAUAUUGAUUGGAUCCGCUGGAGUUGACCCAUUAGCAAUUGAAAUAACGAUUGGUAGGUGAUCACUACCGUGGGGAUCGUUGAUUACUUUCCACCGGCAAUCUAACGCUAGUGAUGUCGAGCAAAGGGAUAGGUCAAGCACGCUUUCACGUGCUGGAGGAUUAAGAACACGUGUCGCUUCCCCAGUAUUCAAAAGUGUCAUAUUGAAGUCGUCGAUUAAGUUACAGAUUGAAGAAGAUCGGUUGUCGCGUACAGCGUACAGCGACCUCAAUAGCGAACAGUGAGAAUUAAAAUCUGCCAAUAUCAAAAAAGGCGCGGGAAGCAACUCUGCUAUAUCAGUAAGAUGCCUCUCUUCAAUCCGCGCGGAUGGAGGGAUAUAUAACGAAACAAGGCAUAAGUCAUUUCCAUUCAUAUUCGUUUGAAUGGCAACGACUUCAAUAUUCGAGAUCGAGGGGAGGUCGAUUCUGAAAAAAGAAUAGCACUUUUUGAUCCCUAAAAGUACCCCUCCACCGUGUUAUUUUCGAUCUUGACGAAUUACGCUAGUGAAGUCGAGCAAAAUAUUGGAAAAUCGAUGGAAACAAACCAUAAAUUGCUCACAAAUUAUCAAACACUCAGCAAGACCCACGUCGACUCGCUCGAGGAAAUAGAAAAACACCUAAAUUCUAUCAAACAUAACAUUUCUAUUGCCGCAAGCAACAACAAUGCCAGGGCCACCGAAAUGAAAAAUAAAAUAUCCUCGCUUCUCGACGCACCUACCUGCGCCGCACCUAGUCGGAGCGCAUGCAGAAAAAAUGCUUAAAGAAAUAAACCGAAGCAUUUCUAGCAUUGCCAGCAGCAACGAAGCCAGUACAGCUGAAAUUAAAAAUACAAUAUCAUCAUUUUUCGACACCUUCGGACACCACAUCAGCUGUUGAAGCGGUGGUCAAAUCGACAGCAACAGCAACAGCAGCAGUAGCAACAAUAACAUCAACUACAAAUGCAACGACAGACUCAAUCAAUAAAUUAAUCACUACCCUAAAAAAUGACUUAGCUGAAUCUCGUGCUGCCCUUACGCGUGACGUUAGGUCUCACAUAGAAGAAAUGGCAAAAAAAUACCUGCACCCGUCAAUGUCCCAAUACUGAGCAUAGUAGCAAUACUGAAUCAACUUCUGGCUGGCGCUUCAUUGGAAGCAGAAAAAUUUGGAAAUGUGACUAGUCACAAAACGACCCAAAGCAGCGUUUACGUCGUCUGCAAGAAAAAAAGGAAGACAAAGCCAAGCAAAAGCGAAAGCAAUGGAAGCAGCACAACCAACUUUUCAAUCACAACUCUAGUACCAACAACAAUAAUAACAUUAUUAGUAGCAGAAAUAACAGUAACA